Molecule: ribosomal RNA, 337 nt
Filed under: uncultured Pseudomonas sp.
Lineage: Bacteria; Pseudomonadati; Pseudomonadota; Gammaproteobacteria; Pseudomonadales; Pseudomonadaceae
Description: bacterial SSU rRNA
Rfam family: Bacterial small subunit ribosomal RNA
Source: RNAcentral
GGCUGUCGUCAGCUCGUGUCGUGAGAUGUGGGUUAAGUCCCGUAACGAGCGCAACCCUUGUCCUUAGUUACCAGCGACGUUAUGGUGGGCACUCUAAGGAGACUGCCGGUGACGAAACCGGAGGAAGGUGGGGAUGACGUCAAGUCAUCAUGGCCCUUACGGCCUGGGCUACACACGUGCUACAAUGGUCGGUACAAAGGGUUGCCAAGCCGCGAGGUGGAGCUAAUCCCAUAAAACCGAUCGUAGUCCGGAUCGCAGUCUGCAACUCGACUGCGUGAAGUCGGAAUCGCUAGUAAUCGUGAAUCAGAAUGUCACGGUGAAUACGUUCCCGGGCCUU